GACAGAGGUGCCGAGCGUUAGGCGGAAUCACUGGGCUUAAAGCGUGUGUAGGCGGAUGGGUAAGUACCUUGUGAAAUCCCACGGCUCAACCGUGGAACUGCUCGGUAUACUGCUCGCCUUGAGCCAACUAGGGGCGACCGGAACAAACGGUGGAGCGGUGAAAUGCGUAGAUAUCGUUUGGAACGCCGAUGGUGAAAACAGGUCGCUGGGGUUGUGCUGACGCUGAGACACGAAAGCCAGGGGAGCGAACGGG
Molecule: ribosomal RNA, 253 nt
Filed under: uncultured bacterium
Lineage: Bacteria
Description: partial 16S ribosomal RNA
Rfam family: Bacterial small subunit ribosomal RNA
Source: RNAcentral